RNAcentral lists this long non-coding RNA (248 nucleotides) under Elaeis guineensis (African oil palm). RNAcentral's name for it is "long non-coding RNA (EGUI_LNC019535)". The record is from RNAcentral. Lineage: Eukaryota; Viridiplantae; Streptophyta; Magnoliopsida; Arecales; Arecaceae.
GAUAAGUAAUUGAGAGGUGGUUAUUUAAUUAAGAUCCUUGAUCCAUCAAAGAGGAGUCUCCCACCAAUCUUUACUUACCUGAUCAAUUUGGAAGAUUGUGUCUUAAAUAUGGUUGCUUGACAGUUUGGUUUAGCUCAUACCAAUUAGAUCAGUCAUUUGAUGACUGAUUAAAUAAGAUUUGAACCAAAUCUUCCUAUGAAUAUUAAGUCUAGAGAUCUUUCAUUAUUGUAGAUGUGCGGACGUGCCAC